UACGUAGGGGGCUAGCGUUGUCCGGAAUCAUUGGGCGUAAAGCGCGUGUAGGCGGUUCGGUAAGUCCGCUGUGAAAGUCGGGGGCUCAACCCUCGAAAGCCGGUGGAUACUGUCGGGCUAGAGUGCGGAAGAGGCGAGUGGAAUUCCUGGUGUAGCGGUGAAAUGCGUAGAUAUACGGAGGAACACCAGAGGCGAAGGCGGAUCGCUGGGCCAACACUGACGCUGAUGUGCGAAAGCUAGGGGAGCAAACGGG
RNAcentral lists this ribosomal RNA (253 nucleotides) under uncultured bacterium. RNAcentral describes it as "partial 16S ribosomal RNA". It matches the Rfam family "Bacterial small subunit ribosomal RNA", at positions 524 to 776 of the family's 1533-position model. The record is from RNAcentral.